Molecule: transfer RNA, 74 nt
Filed under: Armatimonadota bacterium
Lineage: Bacteria; Bacillati; Armatimonadota
Description: Armatimonadetes bacterium tRNA-OTHER
Rfam family: tRNA
About the family: Transfer RNA (tRNA) molecules are approximately 80 nucleotides in length. Their secondary structure includes four short double-helical elements and three loops (D, anti-codon, and T loops).
Source: RNAcentral
GGAGACUGUAGCUCAAAUGGAAGAGUGCCCCGCUUCAACGGGGAGGAUGGAGGUUCGAUUCCUCCCAGUCUCCA